Molecule: non-coding RNA, 96 nt
Organism: Aspergillus nanangensis
Lineage: Eukaryota; Fungi; Ascomycota; Eurotiomycetes; Eurotiales; Aspergillaceae
Source: the annotation of a GenBank genome assembly
GGUUGUGUAGUGUAGUGGUUAUCACUCCAGAUUUUGAUAUAUACAUGUAUCACAAAUCACCUUCUGGUAUCCUGGGUUCGAAUCCCAGCACGACCU